GAAGAUUUAGCUCAGUUGGUACAGUGCUUGCCUGGAAAGCAGGGGGCCCUAUGUUCAAUUUCCAGAACAUCA
This 72-nucleotide transfer RNA is filed under the name Mus musculus (house mouse). RNAcentral's name for it is "tRNA-Ser". The record is from RNAcentral. Lineage: Eukaryota; Metazoa; Chordata; Mammalia; Rodentia; Muridae.